This 82-nucleotide transfer RNA is filed under the name Halteria grandinella. Its description in RNAcentral is "tRNA-Leu". It matches the Rfam family "tRNA". From Rfam's summary of the family: Transfer RNA (tRNA) molecules are approximately 80 nucleotides in length. Their secondary structure includes four short double-helical elements and three loops (D, anti-codon, and T loops). Lineage: Eukaryota; Ciliophora; Spirotrichea; Sporadotrichida; Halteriidae. The record is from RNAcentral.
ACCCGUAUGAUGGAAUUGGUAGACAUGCAAGACUUAAAAUUUUGUCUCUCACGAGGUCCUGGUUCAAGUCCAGGUGCGGGUA